GUCCACGCCGUAAACGAUGGGCACUAGGUGUGGGAGGUGUCGACUCCUCCCGUGCCGAAGCUAACGCAUUAAGUGCCCCGCCUGGGGAGUACGGCCGCAAGGCUAAAAACUCAAAGGAAUUGACGGGGGCCCGCACAAGCAGCGGAGCAUGUGGUUUAAUUGUAUGCAACGCCAAGAACCUUACCAAGGCUUGACAUGGUCGAGAAAGCCGGAGAAAAUUCGGUCCUCCUUCGGGACUCGAUCACAGGUGGUGCAUGGCUGUCGU
This 265-nucleotide ribosomal RNA is filed under the name uncultured bacterium. RNAcentral's name for it is "partial 16S ribosomal RNA". It matches the Rfam family "Bacterial small subunit ribosomal RNA", at positions 793 to 1055 of the family's 1533-position model. The record is from RNAcentral.